RNAcentral lists this ribosomal RNA (800 nucleotides) under uncultured soil bacterium. Its description in RNAcentral is "bacterial SSU rRNA". It matches the Rfam family "Bacterial small subunit ribosomal RNA", at positions 9 to 801 of the family's 1533-position model. The record is from RNAcentral.
GAGUUUGAUCCUGGCUCAGGAUGAACGCUAGCGGCAGGCCUAACACAUGCAAGUCGAGGGGCAGCAUAGAAAUAGCUUGCUAUUUUGGUGGCGACCGGCGCACGGGUGCGUAACGCGUAUGCAACCUACCCUAUACUGGGGGAUAUCCCGGAGAAAUUCGGACUAAUACCCCAUGGUGUUAAUGAGUGGCAUCACUUAUUGAUUAAAGGUUACGGUAUAGGAUGGGCAUGCGUCCCAUUAGCUAGUUGGUGUGGUAACGGCACACCAAGGCUACGAUGGGUAGGGGGCCUGAGAGGGUGAUCCCCCACACUGGUACUGAGACACGGACCAGACUCCUACGGGAGGCAGCAGUGAGGAAUAUUGGUCAAUGGGCGCAAGCCUGAACCAGCCAUGCCGCGUGCAGGAAGACGGUCCUAUGGAUUGUAAACUGCUUUUAUUCGGGGAUAAACCUCUUUACGUGUAGAGAGCUGAAGGUACCGAAAGAAUAAGCACCGGCUAACUCCGUGCCAGCAGCCGCGGUAAUACGGAGGGUGCAAGCGUUAUCCGGAAUCAUUGGGUUUAAAGGGUCCGCAGGCGGGACUGUAAGUCAGUGGUGAAAUCCGGCAGCUCAACUGUCGCACUGCCAUUGAUACUGCAGUCCUUGAAUUUGAUUGGAGUGGGCGGAAUAUGUCAUGUAGCGGUGAAAUGCUUAGAUAUGACAUAGAACACCGAUAGCGAAGGCAGCUCACUAAGUCUGAAUUGACGCUCAUGGACGAAAGCGCGGGUAGCAAACAGGAUUAGAUACCCUGGUAGUCCGCGCC